RNAcentral lists this long non-coding RNA (482 nucleotides) under Nicotiana benthamiana. RNAcentral describes it as "long non-coding RNA (NBEN_LNC020434)". Lineage: Eukaryota; Viridiplantae; Streptophyta; Magnoliopsida; Solanales; Solanaceae. The record is from RNAcentral.
CGUGUUGUUUGCUCUCUUUAUCACUUCGCCAAUAUCCCUGGCACAAAGUUGAUCAGAGAACAUUUAACAUGAGAUUGCUUUCCUUAAACCUUCUCAUAUCAUGAAGAACAAAAUUGUUUUAUCCUUAAUUAAACGCAGACCAGACUUUCCACCACGUAUUCACGUCCAUCAUUUUGACCUAACUCAAGAAAUAGACCCCCGAUCAGAGAACAUUUAAUCAAACCUUCUCAUACCACCAAGAACAAAAAUAUUUUAUCCUUAAUUAAACUCAGACCAGACUUUCCAUCACGUAUUCACGUCCAUCAUUUAGACCUAACUCAAGGCAUAGAACCCAAAUAUAAGCUAGACUCUCGAAAGUUUUUCCCCAGUUAUCGGAAAAGUUCACAACAUUGGCCUAUGUCAGUUAAAAGGGAAUAAUUGUUUGCUUAGAAAAGUUAAACCCCUAGUAGAGGAAACACUAGAAACUUUAGGGUGAGCAGAAC